Long non-coding RNA from Quercus lobata, 438 nucleotides. RefSeq lists it as uncharacterized. The transcript is spliced from 3 exons. NCBI's taxonomy places the organism in Eukaryota, Viridiplantae, Streptophyta, Magnoliopsida, Fagales, Fagaceae. The record is from RefSeq and is a predicted model, not a curated record.
UAAUGUUUAUUCUCUUCUUGCAAACAGAUUAGACAAGGAAGGCUCCAAGGUGUUGGUCAAUGCCUUGUUCGUGAGUAUAGAAUGGUUUGUCAUGUCGUGCAAGGAAAACUCAGCAGGGAUUUCUUUGAGGGCUGCAGAGCUAUACUGUGGGAUAAGGAUAAGAACCCAAAGUGGGAACCCUCUAAAAUUGGAGUUUGUUAGUGACCGUAUUGUUGACUCAUACUUCUCUAAAGUGGAUGAUGAAGGCUGGGAAGAUCUAAAGUUUUCUACAAGAUCUAAUUUGCAUGUAUAUGCCAUUGCAAAGCUUUAAUGCAUGAAGGUGAAAAAUGGGGAAAUAGAUGUACUUUGUGAAUCAUAAUAAAAUGGAUAUCAACCUAAUGUGUAGAGACAUUUAUUUGACAACAAUAAUAAUCUCAUUAACUUUGUCCUUUUGGCCAA